UACGGAAGGUCCGGGCGUUAUCCGGAUUUAUUGGGUUUAAAGGGAGCGUAGGCCGGAGAUUAAGCGUGUUGUGAAAUGUAGACGCUCAACGUCUGCAAUGCAGCGCGAACUGGUUUCCUUGAGUACGCACAAAGUGGGCGGAAUUCGUGGUGUAGCGGUGAAAUGCUUAGAUAUCACGAAGAACUCCGAUUGCGAAGGCAGCUCACUGGAGCGCAACUGACGCUGAAGCUCGAAAGUGCGGGUAUCGAACAGG
RNAcentral lists this ribosomal RNA (253 nucleotides) under Segatella copri DSM 18205. Its description in RNAcentral is "Prevotella copri DSM 18205 partial 16S ribosomal RNA". It matches the Rfam family "Bacterial small subunit ribosomal RNA", at positions 524 to 776 of the family's 1533-position model. The record is from RNAcentral. Lineage: Bacteria; Pseudomonadati; Bacteroidota; Bacteroidia; Bacteroidales; Prevotellaceae.